AACGAACGCUGGCGGCAUGCCUAACACAUGCAAGUCGAACGAUGCCUUCGGGCAUAGUGGCGCACGGGUGCGUAACGCGUGGGAAUCUGCCUUUCGGUUCGGAAUAACUCAGGGAAACUUGAGCUAAUACCGGAUAACGUCGCAAGACCAAAGAUUUAUCACCGAAAGAUGAGCCCGCGUAGGAUUAGCUAGUUGGUGAGGUAAAGGCUCACCAAGGCGACGAUCCUUAGCUGGUCUGAGAGGAUGAUCAGCCACACUGGGACUGAGACACGGCCCAGACUCCUACGGGAGGCAGCAGUGGGGAAUAUUGGACAAUGGGCGAAAGCCUGAUCCAGCAAUGCCGCGUGAGCGAUGAAGGCCUUAGGGUUGUAAAGCUCUUUUAACCGGGAAGAUAAUGACGGUACCGGGAGAAUAAGCCCCGGCUAACUCCGUG
This 433-nucleotide ribosomal RNA is filed under the name uncultured bacterium. RNAcentral describes it as "partial 16S ribosomal RNA". It matches the Rfam family "Bacterial small subunit ribosomal RNA", at positions 29 to 507 of the family's 1533-position model. The record is from RNAcentral.